UGGGCCGUGGCUGCUCUGAGGGGCGAGGAGGAAAGCUGCCCUGAGGGGACGGGGAGCUUUCUGGGCCUGGGAUGCGAUCACAGGGCUUCAUCCUGUGAGGUAUGGCAGUGCAGGCUGUGACCAGUACAGGACCUCCAUCAGAAUGUGAAUGCACGGAGUUCCUAGAAAAACAACCGAGGCGCGCCUCCGGGCCUGCUCUGCAGGACGCCUGUGAUGGGUGCGCUGGGAGUGAAAACCAAACACCCAUUAGCUGGGUACGAGAGUGCAAAGCCAGUGCCUGGACCCAGCUGUCUCUGCUCAAUGUCUGGAUCUAGGAGGCAAAAGGUUCUCUGCACUGGAAAGGAGACACUCGUGUUGUAUGCUGCUAAAUUAAACAACAUUCCAAACGGUUUGCUUUGAAACCCAGCAGCAAGGCCAAAAGCCUCCAUCUUGCCUGUUUUAUCUGAAGGGAAUAGCAAAAGGAAAACGUUUCCAUCGUGUUCCCAAGGCUAAUGAGCAAAGAGGUGCUGGAGCCAAACAACAAUAAUUGCAGGAAAAAAAUUACAGCAGCAGACGAAAAGGAGUAAAUUACUUAACUCAUUUAUACAUGAAUGAAAUACUGCUCCUGCCUGAAGGCUCUGCAUGGUGCGAUACCCAAAUGCCUGGGGAAGGGGCUGCUCCAUCACGGCCGUGCUACCAGCUGGAGGAGGACUCAGUGGCAGAGGCAAUAAAAGCAGCCCUGCAAGUGGCUCACAUAGUGCUGGGCAGCAAAGCAGCAAAUUCCCAACAUCCAGACCCUCAGGGACUGAAGCCAACCUAGGUGUUCUCCUUGUGGCAUCCCACAUCAAAAAGCAGUACUAGGAGACAAACUUGCAACACAUCAUGAGGACCAUGCUAAAGAGACCCAUCACCCUUAUAAGAAAAUCUAACUGGUUUUCCGCAGCACAUCUAUGGAAAGCAGCUCUUAAAAAAAAACUGUGAUCAGAGUGGAGCCUGUGGGUAAGAAAAUAAAUUUAAGUGUUCAUCCGGGUGAACAUUAGGCAAUGGCUAGUUUGGGUCUUAAGCCAGCUUAGGAGAACUAGGCAAGAAAUCGGUCUUUCUGAGCUCAUCCUCGCAGUAGUGGCAAAGGGCAUUUAUUUUGCUGUCCUUAAAAGCAGGGAGCUCUAACAUUAGGUUGUGUUCCUGCACCCAGCUGCCUAUUCCUAUGUCCAUUGCCAGAUCCUUCAUCUUUUGGCAUGAUGAACACUUUGGGGAUGCAUGGAACAAACUGCUCCAAUGUGCCUCGUAGAUGGUGACUUUUAGAAAACAGACUUAAGGCAGGCUCCUUGUUAAUCCUUUCUGCCCCUCUGCCUAUAGGAGUCAUUUGAGAUUGAAAAAAAGGAGAACUUGGCUUAAAAAGAUUGCAUGUCUCAACCCCAUGGUGUCAGUGGUGCUGGGAGCUCUGUGGUGCCCAGCCCCUGCCUCCUGACGCCGCUCCUGAUGGUGACAUUAGUCCCGUGGCACGUGCAAGCCAUCAGCUUGACCAACAAAAAUUGAUUUCCAAAAAGCACCUGUGAAAGUUUCCUCCAUAAUUACUAUGGCUGGGAAAUGAGGCCCGAGAAAUGACUUAUUGAGAAGCAUAACAAUAUCAGCAUUGGCAUCACAGCUCAGUAGUGCUUUGUUCCAUUUUUACUCCUAAAGAACAUCAAAUAGCAAAGUUCUUUUAAAUAAAGACUUCCAUUAGUGGGUUUAAAAAUAACACAGUGCGCACAUCCAUUCCUAAAGACAGCUUUUUUUUUUAUUAUUUUAAAAUUCUGCAUCUGAAAACACAGUAUGACAGAAAGCAUUUAUGUACAACUGCAGUGUUUUUGGUAUAAUACAGUAUUUAAUACAUCCAUUUCAUUUUCUGCAAAAAAAAAAAAAAUUGCUUUAUUGGACAAAAAAACAAACUCCCAUUGACAAAGAAUACAGCUAAGGCACAUUGUUUUCUGCUAAAUGAAAGACAAAAGGGUGCAAAAAGGGGUAGUGCAAUAAUUGCUGAAAAUCACAUUCUACUACAAGAAAAGCAUUCUGACUUUGAACUUUGAUUACCGGUCAAUUUAAGACAUUUCAAUAUCUCAUAAAAUACUCCGUUAAAUAAAUAGCAAAAUAUCUACAUCUUUCAGUGUGUUCCAUUUGAAUUUCCAAUUUUUUUUAAACUUUGCUGUAUAUACAUGUGUUUUUUUUUCUUAUUCAAUAGCUUACAAAAUAUUUCUGUACAGUUUUAUGCAUAUUAUGAUCUAUAACAAAAUAGUUAUUUCUUAAAACUAUAUUACCACCAGUCUUUGAAAAUGACAGAAUAGGAAUAACUUAUUAUGGAUUAUGUUAGGCAAUACAAAAAUCCAAUCAACCAAAACCAAAAUAACAAAGUCAGAAAAAUCAUUUCAUUAACUCGAAUUAAUACUUUUUGUUUCACAAAUCUUCUUUGUUGUGUAAACCCUUCUCAGUUGCCUUUGGGUUGUAUAUGCAUCAGAACACUGGAACAGGGUAGGAUUUGGGAUUCCUAAAGCACUGCAGCCUGCCGGGAAUAUUGGUGCUACUGAAACAUGAGAGUUCUCCAUGGAGAAAAAGCAUUAAAGAAACCAACACAUCCAAGCCUUAGCAGAAGGCCUUGGUUUCUGCUGACUUUGACGACCUUUGGACAUGGCUCCAAAGGCCAGAUGUUUGGAAGUGAAUUUAUGACUGGUGAUACAGCCAGACUCCUCUGCCUUCUAUGUGUUCUGUUAGAUUCCCAACCAUCACUCAAAAUCUGGCCCCAAGUGGUGAUGUUCUUCAGAUUUUAAGACCAAACAAUUAAAGAGAAUACAGCUUCUCCCAGUUACCAGUAUGACUCUGAAAGGCAUGCUACUAUCUCAUGUCAAAAUGAGUGAAAUUACUCCAGAAAUUGUCUUGUGCAUCUGAGAGCAGUCUGUCCUGUUACAGUCUGAAGAUAAAUAAAAAGCUAUUAAGUUUGCACUUUGUAGGUAAUUAAAUCCACCUUCCUUAUCUACAAUAAGUUGCAAAAGACAGAGCUCAUAAUUUCCUAAGGUUUAUAUGAAUGUCUGAGCCUUCCUUUUGCCCAAAGGGAAGGUCAUUUUCUUCCCUUAAAGACUGCGUUUGUAAGCAAUUUCUAUUGUAUUUGUGAAGUGUAAGCUGACAGCAACACAACUGAGCUGUAAUAGAAAUCUCAAGGUGCCUUUUAUUCCUUCCACAGCAAACAGAAAGAGUGAGCAAGACACAGACAACACCUAACUUUCUAACACGGUUUAAGGCCACAUUUAGGAAGGAUGAAAGUAAGGCUUCUGUAAGGGGCAACACACUGGAUGCCACAAUGGGAACAGACACUUCAAAGCCAGUAGGCUUUACCUAACAAAAAUCUGGAACACCAUCCCAAUUUUGGCCAGUAGGUCUGUGCCUUCUUUUGGAUAUAAGCUAGAAAAUAAAAUUCAAUGCCACGGACAUCCUCCUCCAGAAUAUUCCCAGCAAACUGAAGGUGCUCCCCUAGCAAUAGAUUACUAUUGUUUCAGUCGAGGGUGUUAAUUACAACAGAACCAAAGACAAGCAAAGUCAUUACAAUAUACAAAUGCAGCGCAAUGAACCGCGCCUAGAAUUGUCACUCUGUUAUCAGAGGCACCUGUACAGUAUCUUGCUGUUUAUUUGGCAAGGUUACAUGUAAUACUUCUAGGUUUUAACAAAGUAGAAAGAGAAUUUGCAUAGAUUGUACAUUCAGUUCAAGGAGAUUUCUGGUACCUUUUUUUGUUGUUAUCAGGUAAACUUGUUUGCAGACACAGUGAGGUAGCAGCUGUGAUAGCACCCAUGAGCAAAAGAAGGUAACCAAGGCAGAAGCAAAGAGAGGAGAGUGAUCUAUACACUGUCGUUAGUAUAAAGGAGCAAAAUCAACAUGGUACCUGCAGUCUCACAUCACGAGGGUUAAUUGCUGCCAACAACACGCUCAACUGCAAAAAGCCUAAUGCUGCUGUUGUCCUGGGUGACAUGGGCUGCGAGACCUCACUGCCUCAAUUUUAAAUGCUCUCAGCCUGAUUGUCCUUUUUCUUACAUUGGUGGUGGUGGUGAAGGCUUUCAAAGGCCAGUUACCAAUCUGAACACUUGCCCUUGAAUAGCCUAGAGGAAGAAAGGCAUUUCCCUACAAAAUCCUUCCCACACUUGCUGCGGAUCUAUAUGCCACAUAUUCUAUGAUUCUGUGAUACUGUCUACAGCAUCCUGGCUGCUCUUAACCCUCUUUCACAUUUGUUUGGCUCCUCUGUGCCUGCUGCAGCAGCGCCUGCCCUCUGCGGGGACCUCUGUAGGCCAGUCCCCCUGUUCUCAGCAGCCCCCCCGGUCCCCCAGCACGGGCAGUGUCCUGUCCCUCCAACACCUGCUUGUACCCUGCCCAUGGACGGCAGCCCUGGAGCUGUCUUGGCAGAAGCUGGAGGGUUUGGUCUGGGAGGACUCUGUUAUGUUUUCAGUUGUCAUUGACAGGCGAUGUUUAAGUUUAAGGCGAUGUGCUACAAAUCCCUAAGACUAACUUGGAGGCCAUGGAUGGUUGAAAAGAAAGCACAUAGAGAUCAUUACCUUCUCGCUACCAGACUGAAGCUAAGGACAACGGGAAAUGCUGCUAACCACAUUCUACCAGGUCAGUCUUGCUCUGCUGCUGAACUAACCAGACCUACUGUUACACAUAUUGAAUAUCUGUGCCUGAAGAGUCAGGAAGAGAUAACCGCUGUCACUUUUACAGCCACCUUCAUGUAUGUUAGUACUGAGCUGGCUGAAGGCUGCUCUGAAAAGCAAACUUUUCCAAUUUACAGCUUGGGGUUUUGAAGAAGCCUAAGGGAUUUGGCUCACAUGAAUACAAAACUUCCUGCCCAAUGGAAAGCAAAGAAGUCAGCCAAGGUAUAAUUUAGCCAACUCCCGAAGCCUUGGGAUCUGGGAAAGCAACAAGGAGGGUGUGAUAGCCAGCAGCAAGCUGGCAGUUCUCUGACAGCUGUGAUGAGAACUACAGAAAUCAACAGAAGUUGGUCCUCAUUGUCUGGCCACAAUUAAAAUCUGGAUUUGGUUUUAUUUUUAUCUGGGAAGUCAAAACUAAGAUCUCACGGUAUCAGCAUUUCUCAGUCUUGCUGUACAGAAGAGUUGCCCAGUUUGUUCAAAUAUUGUUGCAGCAUGGUUUUAUGAAACUUUUGCAAAGUUUUAGCAUCUCUUCAUCUAUACCCUGCCCAGAGAAGCUGUGGAUGCCCCAUUCCUGGAAGUGUUCAAGGCCAGGUUGGAUGGGGCUUUGAACAAGCUGAUCUAGCGGAAGGUGUUCCUGCCCAUGGCAAGGGGGCUGGAAUUAGAUGAUCUUUCAAGUCCCUUCCAACCCAAGCCAUUCUAUGGUUCUGUGUCUCUCCCUUCAGUCAGGUUUAGAAAAUUCCAGUUCUGAUUCACUGACUUCACUGCACUGGUCACUGUAAAAGUAGCUAAGAGAGACUGAGGCUUCAUUAGUAUUGCAGUUAGCUCUGCAGAUGGACAGAGGGUGAAUACACGUUAGUUGGUCCUUCUGAAGGUGCUGCAGGAUCGUUGUUAAUUUGCUGUUAAACAACUGUACAUGCAUUGUGCAUUAAAGCUGAUACCUAGGAAGCUAAAGUCAAUUUGUAGCACACAAAUGCACAUUCCUGCAUCUCUAGGCUUAGUGAUAAUGAAGGCUUAGCAACAGAGACACAGAUGGACUUCCUUGUGUAAUACUUGCCAUCAUGGAGGGAUUCUUAAAAUUCUCUGCUUGCUGAGAGCACAAAAAAUGAAGGCAUAAUUUUAAUUCUAGAAAUUUGAAUAUCAGAAAAUGAAAAUAUAAAUAUGACUACUCAGUGUCCAAAUGUCAUCAAAGAGUUGGACACACUUAAAAAUAAACUGUCAUUUGAGCUAUUUCUAUUAGCCUCAAGGCUUAACAUUACCAUAUAAACAGGUCUGCAUAUCACUAAGACUGACUUUGGAUGUAAUUUAUUAAAUCACAUAUGUAGAUGUUCUACAUCUUGCCACAUUUCCUUUCUGUGUAAUACUGAUUGAUCACAGAAGUGUUACAUGGCUAUCGCACAGAAUGGGCACAGAAUUUAAAUGAGCAAAAGCAUUAUACACAGAGGACAAAUGCGUGCAUAUGGAAGUACACCCCUUUGCCACAGAAAGGGAUUCUGAUCAAAGCUGGCUUUCAGUUGGAGUCCUAUUCAGCAAGGACUAGCCAGUGUGAUUGGAAAAUAACACUAGCACAUUCAAAUGAAGAUGCAUAACUUGCUUGUUUUGUACGAACUGUGGUCCCUGCCCUGAAUUCUCCUUUUCACCAAAUGUAAGAUCUGUGAAGUUAUUCUCUUCUAACAAUAUAUAAUAUUCAUCACAGGCUCCAAGUGCCUGCCAUUUCAGAACCAGAAAAGCCACUUAGCAGAGCGUCGUUCUUAGCAGCACUGCCACAGCCACAGCUUGGAGCAAGCUCUGAUUCCUGAUGGAAAGCCUGGCUUUCCGUGGGUUUUACUGCACAAUUACAGCACUUUGCAACUCAGACACAGUGUCCCUAUAGGACAUAUGUGUCUGUGGCUGCACACUAACAGCUAUAGCAGAAUUUGUCAUUUACGGCCAAAACCUGACACUCAGCUCAGAAGAUGUUCCAAACAUGGCAGCUCAUCCUCUGAUGAUUUCAAACACAUGUAGUAGUUAUUCACAGGAUACUGUCACCCCUUUUAUUUAUGUUGGACUUGACCCUGAAGUCCUCACUCAGAAUCAGCGCUCCAUGGAAAUUUUGCCUGAGAAAGGGCUGUAGGACCAGCCUCUGCAGUUCUACAGCUAGUGCUGUGAGUACCAGCUUGCUACAAAACUUCUUUGUGUAGAUGCUUUUUGUCUUUCAGAAAACAAAGUAAUAUUAAAAAAAAAAUUAUACAUUUUAAACCUAACAUAUAGUGUAAAUAGAUGCAUCAGCAACCAUUUGAUUUCUUUUCCUUUUCUGAACUAAAACAAAAUAAUUUGUGCCUUACAUUUAAGUCGCGUAAGUGGCAGAUUUUCUUCUAGCCACAAAAGACUGGAUUGCUGUCACCUUCUGCUUCAUCUAGUUAAUAACGAGAAUUUACCAACAAAGCACUUAAAACAUUCCUGUUAAAGAAUAAAAGGGUAUCAAAUUUAAAAAUCAAGUUAUCUGCAUGUGUUGUGUGGGCGCACCCUUAUACAUAUGCCUAUGUGCAAGACAGACUGAAGAUUUUGCGACUACCCCAGCAGUCUCAUUGAGAACAAUCAUUGACUAGGAUUGUUAAAGAAAUUGUAUUGUGUGCCCUAAAUAUGAUGUUCUCCAUUUGAUCCGCAGGGCUUUAAUGGUGCACUUGCCAUUGCAUCAAUGUGACUAAAGCCCUGGAUUUCAUAAUGAGGACUGGAACUCCCCAGAAAAUCUGCACUUCAUGAAGGAAUGUUAGAUUCACAAUCAGCACUGUUAAAAAAACAAAACAAACAGAACGACAAAAAAAAACCCUACUGACAAACAAGACAGUGCUGCAUUUGCUCAUUGUGAAGCUAAUCGACUCCUUGUCAACUGGAUCUGAACUAAAUUUCGAAGCAAAUCCUUGUCUUCAGGGUUUUUCUUGAAAUGACGAUUCCAGGGCAUGUCUACUGUCUGCAGCCACGUGCCUGCCUGCUGCUAUUACUACAUUUAUCAAGAACAUGUCAUGUUACAGCUGGUUAAUUUAAAGAAAUCACAGCAGUUCUGACACAAGUUGCCACCCACUUUAUAAUCUGUAUAGAUGCAAUUAGAAUUGAUUGAGCCACUGCAAAUAACCAACGGCAAAACAAAGGUUUCCCAGUAUAUACUUAAUUAAGAUGAUCCAUAAAUAUGGAUUAGGUUAAAAGGCUUUUGAGAUGUGUGUGCAUCACAGGAUGUCUGCUAAUGCCGUCAAGCCUUUGAAAGAGGAAGCUGUAGCUGGAGGGCACUGGACCAGGAGCUGGGGUUUGGGGCUCCUUGCCCUGUGGUGGGGCAGCAGGGAGCAGAAGCCCCACAUCAGGGGCACGUGAACAUGGUAGGAACCAAACAUGAAAGGUCUCUCUGAAGGAGAAAGAAACGGAUGCUCUCUGUCCCUGCCCUCUUUACUUGAAGGAAGAAGUUUUUAUUCAUUUAAUUAUUUAUUUUCAAUCCAGCAUUUGGUAUUGGCUUGAGGUUUGGGGCUUUAUCUGCCCCAGAAGUGAAUCUGCCCACUGGCUCACAGUAACCUAUUUGGGUUUAAUGAAACAGGUACUAUACAGUAAAUGCGUGACAACUCAUUAGCAUCACUCCAGCUGGGAGAUCACCGUGGAAACUUUGCCAUGAAUAUAAACUCAAAUGUGAAAAUGAAAUUGCUUUGGCUUUUUCCCUGCACCUCUCCGUGCUCCUAGGAGCUGUGUGUGAUCACACCCGGCAAGAGCGCUUUGCACAGGCUUUGCACAGCACCAAUGAGUGGGAAAGGGGGAUGAUAGAGAUGCAGAUCCAGCCUCUACUGAAUUUGCUGUGCUUUCAUGGGAACUGAAAUAUACUUGGUAGCUCGGGUGAGUCUGAGAACUGCUGGCUAAACAGCCUGGAUUAUGCCUGUUGUUUGAUUCUGCCUCUCCAGUCCCUGUGCAGGGGACCUGGACAUUGAGCCUCUGAACUGCUCUUCAACUCAUGCUGCUGAAAGCAGUGAGAAAGCCCCGUUCCAGUGUAUAGUCACUGCUACUGAUCUUCUAGUCAUCUUCUCCCUGUUCUGUCUCCUCCACGUUACACUCCCUUUCUGUCUUGGCACGAUGCAGUCCUGGGGCACCCUGAUGGUCCUUGGCAGCUCCCCCAUGUCCUUACAGUGAGCACGGGGUUCUUGGCUUUAACACACUCAGCCAUACAGUGAGAAACCCCGAAAUCGCCAGUUAGAAGAAGAAAAGAGAAUCUGGCUGUGAGGGACGUAGGGGGAAGGAGACAGUGGUGGACCAAAUGGAGCUGAACCUGAUUUCUCCAAAUGAGUUACCUGGCAAAUUCACAUAGUUCAUGUGCUCCACCCCCUCUUUUUUCCCUUCUUUCUCCAUUAUCCCCAACCAAGCAAACACUUGAAGGCACUCUUGAGCCAGAAGGAUAUGCUGAAAGGCAAAACUGAUUCCUGACAGAACUCAGAGAAACAGGCCCAGGUUUGGAUGCCUGGUAGAGAAAGAGGAGCAAGAAAGAAUAAAUAAUAUUGGACUCCAAACCUCCCACUGAAAUUGCUUUGGGAGACUCGCUUACUGUGGAGACAUCCCAAACCUCCAAGUGUGCUCAAAAACACCAUAUAAGAACUGAUCUCUCUUUUAUAGAUAUAGCUUUUGUAAAGGGCAACGAGUCCCUGUUUUUAAACAAUUCACAUUCUGUCAGUUAUGCACAUCUGGACAUAAUAUCACAGAAAAAAAAAUGUCCCUGAUUUCCCUCCUUGGUUUUACUUGCAUGCACAGACUCUAGGCCAAAAUUAAUAAAUAAAUGGGAAUAGAAAAUGAGUAAACUAGCUGCAUAUGCUGUUUUUAUUAACUGUUAAAUGAAGUGUCUUUGCUGGUAGCUGUCCCAGAAUUAAUUUUUUUUUUUCGAACUGUAAUCAUGAAAUUUAAGAGUCAUGAUACAGGAAUGAACACGUUUCAGUUUACUUAACAGAGGAGAAAGUUGCUCCCUUCAUGAUGCUGAGAAAUUACGAGCAACUUUACCUUGUGCUCUGUGCUGAAAUCGUGUAGAUAUGCAGUGGUUUAGCAAAUACAGUGAUAGUUGUCAUGCUCUUGCUCUCCAGAUGCAAGAGUUUAGUGGCAGCUGUCAGAUCUGUGCAAACAUUUUUUAGAAUGACACAUUAUGCACAAAACACAGACAGAUUUUUAUGUAUGUAACUACGUGGACUCCAGUUUCUAUGUCUGGUGUAUAUGAGGCAGACUGGGCCUAAUCAUGGUGAAACAAAUAAAGCAAAGUAGUAUGAAAAAA
This is a non-coding RNA of Anas platyrhynchos (mallard), 9901 nucleotides long. Lineage: Eukaryota; Metazoa; Chordata; Aves; Anseriformes; Anatidae. The record is from RefSeq and is a predicted model, not a curated record.